GGAUCUCUAGCUUAAUUGGGGUCGUCAGUCGCAGUGUCCUAGGUUUGCGAUACGCGACUCCCUGGGUAAAGCGCCUGUCGAAAGAAGGCAGGAGAUGACAGUUCGAUCCUGUCGAGACCCA
RNAcentral lists this transfer RNA (121 nucleotides) under Actinomyces sp. Its description in RNAcentral is "tRNA-Phe". Lineage: Bacteria; Bacillati; Actinomycetota; Actinomycetes; Actinomycetales; Actinomycetaceae. The record is from RNAcentral.